GACGAACGCUGGCGGCGUGCUUAACACAUGCAAGUCGAACGGAAAGGCCCUGCUUUUGUGGGGUGCUCGAGUGGCGAACGGGUGAGUAACACGUGAGUAACCUGCCCUUGACUUUGGGAUAACUUCAGGAAACUGGGGCUAAUACCGGAUAGGAGCUCCUGCUACAUGGUGGGGGUUGGAAAGUUUCGGCGGUUGGGGAUGGACUCGCGGCUUACCAGCUUGUUGGUGGGGUAGUGGCUUACCAAGGCUUUGACGGGUAGCCGGCCUGAGAGGGUGACCGGCCACAUUGGGACUGAGAUACGGCCCAGACUCCUACGGGAGGCAGCAGUGGGGAAUAUUGCACAAUGGGUGGAAGCCUGAUGCAGCAACGCCGCGUGCGGGAUGACGGCCUUCGGGUUGUAAACCGCUUUCGCCUGUGACGAAGCGUGAGUGACGGUAAUGGGUAAAGAAGCACCGGCUAACUACGUG
This 468-nucleotide ribosomal RNA is filed under the name uncultured bacterium. RNAcentral describes it as "partial 16S ribosomal RNA". It matches the Rfam family "Bacterial small subunit ribosomal RNA", at positions 28 to 507 of the family's 1533-position model. The record is from RNAcentral.